CCCUGAUCAACACAUCCAGAUUAUUGGCCCAAGAGAAUGAUGUAAGGCAUGGUGUAAGGGGCCAAUCAUAGGGCCCAUACCUGAUAAAAUUGGUGACCUGGGACCCCACAUUUAUAAUGUGAUUUAUUUUUAAAAUAUGUAUGAAAACGGAGGGCUAAUGGCCUCUGUGUCUUUGAGCCAAUCUGUUCUCUCUGUUGGAUGUAUUGGAGAGAUAAUUUGAUAUUGCAGAUUUCCAUCAAGAAGAGGCAGGUAUUAAACUUUAAGGUAUAAAUUUAGAAACUAGUUAUACGGUACGAGAGCAGGUAAGAG
Molecule: non-coding RNA, 309 nt
Organism: Pelobates cultripes (western spadefoot toad)
Lineage: Eukaryota; Metazoa; Chordata; Amphibia; Anura; Pelobatidae
Source: the annotation of a GenBank genome assembly